UGCAUGCCUGCAGGUCGACUCUAGAGGAUCCCACAUGCGUGGUAGAGGAGCGUUCUGUAGGCCGUUGAAGGGAAAGCUGAGAGGCAUCCUGGAGGUAUCAGAAGUGCGAAUGCUGACAUGAGUAACGAUAAGGGGAGUGAAAAGCUCCCCCGCCGGAAGACCAAGGUUUCCUAUCCAAUGCUAAUCAGGGUAGGGUGAGUCGGCACCUAAGGCGAGGCUGAAGAGCGUAGUCGAUGGAAAGCAGGUUAAUAUUCCUGCACCACUCAAUAUUGCGAAGGAGGGACGGAGAAGGCUAGUCCAGCGCGGCGUUGGUUGUCCGCGUUUAAGCGUGUAGGCUUGAAUCUUAGGAAAAUCCGGGAUUCUUUAAGGCUGAGGCGUGAUGACGAGGUCCAUUAGGACUGAAGUGGUUGAUGCCAUGCUUCCAGGAAAAGCUUCUAAGCUAUAGAUAUUGAGUGACCGUACCCCAAACCGACACAGGUGGUCAGGUAGAGAAUACCAAGGCGCUUGAGAGAACUCGGGUGAAGGAACUAGGCAAAAUGGUACCGUAACUUCGGGAGAAGGUACGCCGCUGAUGGUGAUGGGACUUGCUCCCUAAGCUGUUGGCGGCCGAAGAUACCAGGUGGCUGCGACUGUUUAUUAAAAACACAGCACUGUGCAAACACGAAAGUGGACGUAUACGGUGUGACGCCUGCCCGGUGCCGGAAGGUUAAUUGAUGGGGUUAGCUUCGGCGAAGCUCUUGAUCGAAGCCCCGGUAAACGGCGGCCGUAACUAUAACGGUCCUAAGGUAGCGAAAUUCCUUGUCGGGUAAGUUCCGACCUGCACGAAUGGCGUAACGACGGCCACACUGUCUCCACCCGAGACUCAGUGAAAUUGAAAUCGCUGUUAAGAUGCAGUGUAUCCGCGGCUAGACGGAAAGACCCCGUGAACCUUUACUAUAGCUUCACAGUGAACUUUGAACCUAUUUGUGUAGGAUAGGUGGGAGGCUUUGAAACGGUGACGCUAGUCACAGUGGAGCCAAACUUGAAAUACCACCCUGGUAUGUUUGAGGUUCUAACUCAGGUCCGUAAUCCGGAUCGAGGACACUGUGUGGUGGGUAGUUUGACUGGGGCGGUCUCCUCCCAAAGAGUAACGGAGGAGCACGAAGGUAUGCUAAUCAUGGUCGGAAAUCAUGAGGUUAGUGCAAUGGCAUAAGCAUGCUUAACUGCGAGACAGACACGUCGAGCAGAUACGAAAGUAGGUCAUAGUGAUCCGGUGGUUCUGAAUGGAAGGGCCAUCGCUCAACGGAUAAAAGGUACUCCGGGGAUAACAGGCUGAUACCGCCCAAGAGUUCACAUCGACGGCGGUGUUUGGCACCUCGAUGUCGGCUCAUCACAUCCUGGGGCUGAAGCCGGUCCCAAGGGUAUGGCUGUUCGCCAUUUAAAGUGGUACGCGAGCUGGGUUAGAA
This 1445-nucleotide ribosomal RNA is filed under the name marine metagenome. RNAcentral's name for it is "bacterial LSU rRNA". It matches the Rfam family "Bacterial large subunit ribosomal RNA", at positions 1207 to 2616 of the family's 2925-position model. The record is from RNAcentral.